GAGUUUGAUCAUGGCUCAGAUUGAACGCUGGCGGCAUGCUUUACACAUGCAAGUCGAACGGCAGCACAGGGAGCUUGCUCCUGGGUGGCGAGUGGCGAACGGGUGAGUAAUGUAUCGGAACGUGCCUGGUAGUGGGGGAUAACCACUCGAAAGAGUGGCUAAUACCGCAUGAGAUCUCUGGAUGAAAGCGGGGGACCUUUGGGCCUCGCGCUACUGGAGCGGCCGAUAUCAGAUUAGGUUGUUGGUGGGGUAAAGGCCUACCAAGCCUGCGAUCUGUAGCUGGUCUGAGAGGACGACCAGCCACACUGGGACUGAGACACGGCCCAGACUCCUACGGGAGGCAGCAGUGGGGAAUUUUGGACAAUGGGCGCAAGCCUGAUCCAGCAAUGCCGCGUGCAGGACGAAGGCCUUCGGGUUGUAAACUGCUUUUGUACAGAACGAAAAGUCUCUGGCUAAUAUCUGGAGAUCA
RNAcentral lists this ribosomal RNA (469 nucleotides) under Brachymonas sp. canine oral taxon 015. RNAcentral's name for it is "bacterial SSU rRNA". It matches the Rfam family "Bacterial small subunit ribosomal RNA", at positions 9 to 472 of the family's 1533-position model. The record is from RNAcentral. Lineage: Bacteria; Pseudomonadati; Pseudomonadota; Betaproteobacteria; Burkholderiales; Comamonadaceae.